This 420-nucleotide ribosomal RNA is filed under the name bacterium. RNAcentral's name for it is "partial 16S ribosomal RNA". It matches the Rfam family "Bacterial small subunit ribosomal RNA", at positions 355 to 776 of the family's 1533-position model. The record is from RNAcentral.
UGGGGGAUAUUGCACAAUGGGCGAAAGCCUGAUGCAGCGACGCCGCGUGGGGGAUGAAGGCUUUCGGGUUGUAAACCUCUUUCGCUAUCGAACAAGGCCCGCUUAGGGUGGGUUGAGGGUAGGUGGAGAAGAAGCGCCGGCUAACUACGUGCCAGCAGCCGCGGUAAUACGUAGGGCGCGAGCGUUGUCCAGAAUUAUUGGGCGUAAAGGGCUUGUAGGCGGCGUGUUGCGCCUGCUGUGAAAACGCGGGGCUUAACUUCGCGCGUGCAGUGGGUACGGGCAGGCUUGAGUGUGGUAGGGGUGACUGGAAUUCCAGGUGUAGCGGUGGAAUGCGCAGAUAUCUGGAGGAACACCGAUGGCGAAGGCAGGUCACUGGGCCAUUACUGACGCUGAGGAGCGAAAGCAUGGGUAGCGAACAGG